GAAGAAAUCAAAUCAAAUUGAUAUUACACAAAAAUAAACCUAUUUCAACUAGUAAUCCUGUUUGGAAGAACCUACUGAUCUUCUGAAUGCCCACAAACUAGAUGUAUGUUGUAACAAAAACAAUUUAUAGAUGUGAACUCAUCUAGAACUGCCUAGGGCAUUCUACACUAACACAUCAACUUAAUAAAUAAAAGAAUUUCAUAUUGUGAACUCUAACUCUGAUCAUAUUAGCACAUAACUCUUUCUGCAUGCAUGUCACCAUCCUUGCUGGCCUAGAAAUGCUGUAGACCCCUCUCAAAAAACUCUUUUGCACAAUUCACUUCCUCAUGUGCUCAGGAAUAAGGCGCUGUCUCAGUUCAGUGGGUGCACCAGAAAGUUCUUGAGGUGUGAAGUUGAAUAGAAGUGGCAAAGGUCGUCCAUUAGGCAAGCAAGCAUUUGGUUUUCUCAGAUCAUCAAAGAAAGGGUGUGCACAUGCCUCCAAAGCAGUACAUCGGAGAGUUGGUGAAUACUGCAGCAACCUUGAGGCCAGAUCUACAGCUUCACGGGGUAUUUUUCUUUGAAAUAUCUUGUGCCACGGGUGAGCUUUGAUUUGAGGGAACUUGAACUCUGUAUAGUUUGGAUUCAUGCACCUAAUUUCCUCUCUAGUUGGUGUCCCCAAAAUCUUGAUGAUCUCCAC
Molecule: unclassified non-coding RNA, 676 nt
Filed under: Hevea brasiliensis (rubber tree)
Lineage: Eukaryota; Viridiplantae; Streptophyta; Magnoliopsida; Malpighiales; Euphorbiaceae
Source: RNAcentral